This 447-nucleotide ribosomal RNA is filed under the name uncultured bacterium. Its description in RNAcentral is "bacterial SSU rRNA". It matches the Rfam family "Bacterial small subunit ribosomal RNA", at positions 329 to 793 of the family's 1533-position model. The record is from RNAcentral.
CCCCCUCCUCCUACUUGAGGCAGCCUUUUGGAAUAUUUCACCCUGGGGGAACCCCUUCUGCAGCGCCUCCUCGUGAGUGCCUCCUUAUUUCGGUCUUUCCAGCUCUAUCCUCCUGGAAGAACCUUCCUGUACCUGCCUCCUCAGCCCCGUCUCCCUACGUGCCCUCCUCCGCGGUAAUCCUUCUGGGGCAAUCUUUCUCCGGAUUUCCUGUUUGUAAAGUGAGCGUAGACGGCAGGGCAAGUCAGAGGUGAAAGCCCGGGGGGAAACCCCGGGACUGCAUUUGAAAAUGUCAGGCUGGAGUGCAGGAGAGGGAAGUGGAAGGCAGAGUGUAGCGGGGAAAUGCGUAGAGAGGAGGAGGAACAAAAGUGGCGAAGGCGGAGGAAUGGACUGGAAAUGACGUUGAGGCUCGAAAGCGUGGGGAGAAAACAGGAUUAGAUACCCUGGUAA